UACUGGAAACGGUAGCUAAUACCGCAUAACGUCGCAAGACCAAAGUGGGGGACCUUCGGGCCUCACACCAUCGGAUGAACCCAGAUGGGAUUAGCUAGUAGGUGGGGUAAUGGCUCACCUAGGCGACGAUCCCUAGCUGGUCUGAGAGGAUGACCAGCCACACUGGAACUGAGACACGGUCCAGACUCCUACGGGAGGCAGCAGUGGGGAAUAUUGCACAAUGGGGGAAACCCUGAUGCAGCCAUGCCGCGUGUGUGAAGAAGGCCUUCGGGUUGUAAAGCACUUUCAGCGGGGAGGAAGGCGGUGGCGUUAAUAGCGCUAUCGAUUGACGUUACCCGCAGAAGAAGCACCGGCUAACUCCGUGCCAGCAGCCGCGGUAAUACGGAGGGUGCGAGCGUUAAUCGGAAUUACUGGGCGUAAAGCGUACGCAGGCGGUCUGUUAAGUCAGAUGUGAAAUCCCCGGGCUUAACCUGGGAACUGCAUUUGAAACUGGCAGGCUAGAGUCUCGUAGAGGGGGGUAGAAUUCCAGGUGUAGCGGUGAAAUGCGUAGAGAUCUGGAGGAAUACCGGUGGCGAAGGCGGCCCCCUGGACGAAGACUGACGCUCAGGUACGAAAGCGUGGGGAGCAAACAGGAUUAGAUACCCUGGUAGUCCACGCUGUAAACGAUGUCGAUUUGAAGGUUGUGGCCUUGAGCCGUGGCUUUCGGAGCUAACGCGUUAAAUCGACCGCCUGGGGAGUACGGCCGCAAGGUUAAAACUCAAAUGAAUUGACGGGGGCCCGCACAAGCGGUGGAGCAUGUGGUUUAAUUCGAUGCAACGCGAAGAACCUUACCUACUCUUGACAUCCAGAGAACUUAGCAGAGAUGCUUUGGUGCCUUCGGGAACUCUGAGACAGGUGCUGCAUGGCUGUCGUCAGCUCGUGUUGUGAAAUGUUGGGUUAAGUCCCGCAACGAGCGCAACCCUUAUCCUUUGUUGCCAGCGAUUCGGUCGGGAACUCAAAGGAGACUGCCGGUGAUAAACCGGAGGAAGGUGAGGAUGACGUCAAGUCAUCAUGGCCCUUACGAGUAGGGCUACACACGUGCUACAAUGGCGCAUACAAAGAGAAGCGAUCUCGCGAGAGUCAGCGGACCUCAUAAAGUGCGUCGUAGUCCGGAUUGGAGUCUGCAACUCGACUCCAUGAAGUCGGAAUCGCUAGUAAUCGUGGAUCAGAAU
This 1211-nucleotide ribosomal RNA is filed under the name uncultured bacterium. Its description in RNAcentral is "bacterial SSU rRNA". It matches the Rfam family "Bacterial small subunit ribosomal RNA", at positions 148 to 1355 of the family's 1533-position model. The record is from RNAcentral.